GUGCAGCAGUCGCGAAAACUCCGCAAUACACGAAAGUGUGACGGGGCUAUCCCGAGUGCCGUCCGCUGAGGAUGGCUUUUCCCCAGUGUAGAUAGCUGGGGGAAUAAGGAGAGGGCAAGUCUGGUGUCAGCCGCCGCGGUAAUACCAGCUCUUCGAGUGGUGGGGAUGUUUAUUGGGCCUGAAGCAUCCGUAGCCGGCUGAGCAAGUUCUCUGUUAAAUCCAGCGAUCCAAUCGUUGGACUGCGGGAAAUACUGUUUGGCUAGGGGGCGAGAGAGGCCAACGGUAUUCCCGGGGUAGGGGUGAAAUCCCAUAAUCCCGGGAGGACCACCAGUGGCGAAGGCUGUUGGCUAGAACGCGCUCGACGGUGAGGGACGAAAGCUGGGGGAGCGAACCGGAUUAGAUACCCGGGUAGUCC
This 415-nucleotide ribosomal RNA is filed under the name uncultured crenarchaeote. RNAcentral describes it as "partial 16S ribosomal RNA". It matches the Rfam family "Archaeal small subunit ribosomal RNA", at positions 330 to 747 of the family's 1478-position model. Lineage: Archaea; Thermoproteati; Thermoproteota. The record is from RNAcentral.